UACAAUAUAGAGAAGGAUAGUUAUUAGAUGAGACAGUCCAGUUCUCCUGGGCUUCUUAUGUGCUUGCUCAGGGUGCUAAGACUGCAAGCCCUGACAAGAGUUUUGCCUGGACCACUCCUCAGGAUUUAUGUAGUAAGCUUGAGGACAAAGAGCAGGCUUGCUGUCGACGCGUUGGAUUCCUCACACUGUUCCACGGCUGCGACACAAACCCCCUGCACACUUGGCAUUCAUCUAGACCCAUUGUGUUGCCCCUGUGGAACUGGGGACUUGAGGAACUGGCACAAGUAUGCUGACAUGCAUUCUGCAUGCUGUGCCCUGAGUGAUAAAGGUCUUUGCCUCUGACCCAGGGUCUUGUGUCUUCUGUCAGCAUCCACGAAACUCUGACAGGCUAACUUACUGGAUAAAAUCAAAUCCCAGAUUUGACAAUUUUGGCAGCGAGGAAUGGAAUGCUGAAAGAGACAUGAUUUUGUAGAAGAGGAACCGUUGGGCCAGGUUUGAGAAUUUUCGAUUGCCCCAUUGUGGACAUCUUGGAUUGAUUUACAGAUGUGCUACCCAUCACUGGAUUUGGGACCACUCCUGACAGAUUUUCAAAUCGUGGACUCUCUUCUCAAAAGGUGAAUUUCUGUCACUGAGAACAAAGUAAUCUACUCAUUUGAUAGACUGACCGUAAAAGGAAAGCCAGAAGCCUGAAGGCAAGGACUCCAUGGAGUG
This is a long non-coding RNA of Aethalodelphis obliquidens (Pacific white-sided dolphin), 711 nucleotides long. RefSeq lists it as uncharacterized. The record is from RefSeq and is a predicted model, not a curated record. NCBI's taxonomy places the organism in Eukaryota, Metazoa, Chordata, Mammalia, Artiodactyla, Delphinidae. The transcript has 3 exons.